UACGUAGGGGGCUAGCGUUGUCCGGAUUUAUUGGGCGUAAAGAGCGUGUAGGCGGCCAUGUAGGUCCGGUGUGAAAACUCGAGGCUUAACCUCGAGAUGUCAUCGGAAACCAUUUGGCUAGAGUCCGGAAGAGGAGAGUGGAAUUCCUGGUGUAGCGGUGAAAUGCGCAGAUAUCAGGAAGAACGCCAAUGGCGAAAGCAGCUCUCUGGGACGGUACUGACGCUGAGACGCGAAAGCGUGGGGAGCGAACAGG
Molecule: ribosomal RNA, 253 nt
Filed under: uncultured bacterium
Lineage: Bacteria
Description: partial 16S ribosomal RNA
Rfam family: Bacterial small subunit ribosomal RNA
Source: RNAcentral